This 590-nucleotide ribosomal RNA is filed under the name Henosepilachna pusillanima. RNAcentral describes it as "partial 16S ribosomal RNA". The record is from RNAcentral. Lineage: Eukaryota; Metazoa; Arthropoda; Insecta; Coleoptera; Coccinellidae.
UUAUUAAUAUAAUAUUUGAUCCUUUCGUACUAAAAUAUUUUUUAUAUUUAAGAUAGAAACCAACCUGGCUCACACCGGUUUAAACUCAGAUCAUGUAAAAUUUUAAAGGUCGAACAGACCUAAUAUUCUAGCUUCUUCACCAAAAAUAAAUUUUAAUCCAACAUCGAGGUCGCAAACCCUUUUUUCAAUAAGAACUAUUAAAAAGAUUACGCUGUUAUCCCUAAGGUAAUUUAAUCUUAUAAUCAUUUAUAUGGAUCAAAAAUUCGAUUAUUAUCGUAUAAAUAAAAAAAAAGUUUAAUUAAUUUUUUUGUCACCCCAACAAAACUUAAAAUAAAUUAUUAAAAUAAAAUUCUAAAAAUAAUAAAAUAAUUUUUAGUUAAACUCUAUAGGGUCUUCUCGUCUUUAAAUUUAAUUUAAGCUUUUUAACUUAAAAAUAAAAUUCUAUUAUUAAAAUUGAAACAGUAAUUUUCUCAUCAAACCAUUCAUACAAGCUUUCAAUUAAAAAACUAAUGAUUAUGCUACCUUUGCACAGUCAAAAUACUGCGGCCCUUCAAUAAUUCAGUGGGCAGGCCAAACUUUAAAUUAAAUUC